Molecule: ribosomal RNA, 197 nt
Filed under: uncultured eukaryote
Lineage: Eukaryota
Description: partial 18S ribosomal RNA
Rfam family: Eukaryotic small subunit ribosomal RNA
Source: RNAcentral
UGGUGGAGCGAUUUGUCUGGUUAAUUCCGUUAACGAACGAGACCUCGACCUGCUAAAUAGUGGGGUCUAGUCUUCGGACUAGGCCGUGAUCCAGGUUGUGGCGGCCUGCAGCAAUGUGAGCCGUCGCCGUUUGGGUCAAUUCACUUCUUAGAGGGACACUCGGUGUUUAUAGCCGAUGGAAGUUCGAGGCAAUAACA